CAGCUCAGGACGAACGCUGGCGGCGUGCUUAACACAUGCAAGUCGAACGAUGAUGCCCAGCUUGCUGGGUGGAUUAGUGGCGAACGGGUGAGUAACACGUGAGUAACCUGCCCCUGACUCUGGGAUAAGCGUUGGAAACGACGUCUAAUACUGGAUAUGACUGCCGGCCGCAUGGUCUGGUGGUGGAAAGAUUUUUUGGUUGGGGAUGGACUCGCGGCCUAUCAGCUUGUUGGUGAGGUAAUGGCUCACCAAGGCGACGACGGGUAGCCGGCCUGAGAGGGUGACCGGCCACACUGGGACUGAGACACGGCCCAGACUCCUACGGGAGGCAGCAGUGGGGAAUAUUGCACAAUGGGCGAAAGCCUGAUGCAGCAACGCCGCGUGAGGGAUGACGGCCUUCGGGUUGUAAACCUCUUUUAGUAGGGAAGAAGCGUAAGUGACGGUACCUGCAGAAAAAGCACCGGCUAACUACGUGCCAGCAGCCGCGGUAAUACGUAGGGUGCAAGCGUUGUCCGGAAUUAUUGGGCGUAAAGAGCUCGUAGGCGGUUUGUCGCGUCUGCUGUGAAAUCCCGAGGCUCAACCUCGGGCUUGCAGUGGGUACGGGCAGACUAGAGUGCGGUAGGGGAGAUUGGAAUUCCUGGUGUAGCGGUGGAAUGCGCAGAUAUCAGGAGGAACACCGAUGGCGAAGGCAGAUCUCUGGGCCGUAACUGACGCUGAGGAGCGAAAGCGUGGGGAGCGAACAGGAUUAGAUACCCUGGUAGUCCACGCCGUAAACGUUGGGCGCUAGAUGUAGGGACCUUUCCACGGUUUCUGUGUCGUAGCUAACGCAUUAAGCGCCCCGCCUGGGGAGUACGGCCGCAAGGCUAAAACUCAAAGGAAUUGACGGGGGCCCGCACAAGCGGCGGAGCAUGCGGAUUAAUUCGAUGCAACGCGAAGAACCUUACCAAGGCUUGACAUACACCGGAAACGGCCAGAGAUGGUUGCCCCCUUGUGGUCGGUGUACAGGUGGUGCAUGGUUGUCGUCAGCUCGUGUCGUGAGAUGUUGGGUUAAGUCCCGCAACGAGCGCAACCCUCGUUCUAUGUUGCCAGCGCGUUAUGGCGGGGACUCAUAGGAGACUGCCGGGGUCAACUCGGAGGAAGGUGGGGAUGACGUCAAAUCAUCAUGCCCCUUAUGUCUUGGGCUUCACGCAUGCUACAAUGGCCGGUACAAAGGGCUGCGAUACCGUAAGGUGGAGCGAAUCCCAAAAAGCCGGUCUCAGUUCGGAUUGAGGUCUG
This 1275-nucleotide ribosomal RNA is filed under the name Curtobacterium sp. MG-2011-8-BQ. RNAcentral's name for it is "bacterial SSU rRNA". It matches the Rfam family "Bacterial small subunit ribosomal RNA", at positions 20 to 1307 of the family's 1533-position model. Lineage: Bacteria; Bacillati; Actinomycetota; Actinomycetes; Micrococcales; Microbacteriaceae. The record is from RNAcentral.